Molecule: long non-coding RNA, 389 nt
Filed under: Mytilus galloprovincialis (Mediterranean mussel)
Lineage: Eukaryota; Metazoa; Mollusca; Bivalvia; Mytilida; Mytilidae
Source: RNAcentral
UCCAUUUCUUUCUUUGUUUAAUCCAGCAACUUCCAGCAUUUAGACACUUUGGAUAAAGUUGUACCAAAAUAACCUAAAUUUAAAUUAUAUAUAUAUUUUGAAAGUAAGAUGUGUGUAGCAUUAAUUUUGUGGGAAAUAUUACUGUCUAACUGACCAUGCAGAUCCUAGUUAGUGGUUGUUCACCUUAAGAAGAUUCUUCAAAUAGGGUAUAUAUUCUCAGGGAUUGCUAGUCCAGAAACUGCUGACUGAACUACAUUAAAUACUAUACAGAAGGAACAAAUCAAAUGAUAUUUGUACACAAGAUCACUGUUUUCUAGAAUAACCUACAUGUAAUAUAUGACCAUGGCAAAAUGUUUUAAAACCCAAAAUUCAAAAAGAUAAAAAUCGUA